GUCUGGCAGUGCCUGAAGCCUUGCUCCGUGGCACAUGGAAAAUUCCAACCUGCAGUGGUAGAGAAUGAGGACAUACGCAGUGAGGAGUGAUGGAGGGAGAGAAGGAUAGUCUUGAUGGUAACAGCUGAGUCUCUCCUUUGAGUUAUCCCUGAGGUGGUCUCUGACGUUGCUUAAGACCCAGGAAACAUGCCCCUUGGCUGGUCUACAACAUUUCAUAGAAUAAAAA
This is a long non-coding RNA of Balaenoptera musculus (blue whale), 226 nucleotides long. RefSeq lists it as uncharacterized. Lineage: Eukaryota; Metazoa; Chordata; Mammalia; Artiodactyla; Balaenopteridae. The record is from RefSeq and is a predicted model, not a curated record. The transcript is spliced from 3 exons.